AGUGAACGCUGGCGGUAGGCCUAACACAUGCAAGUCGAACGGCAGCACAGGAGAGCUUGCUCUCUGGGUGGCGAGUGGCGGACGGGUGAGGAAUACAUCGGAAUCUACUCUGUCGUGGGGGAUAACGUAGGGAAACUUACGCUAAUACCGCAUACGACCUACGGGUGAAAGCAGGGGAUCUUCGGACCUUGCGCGAUUGAAUGAGCCGAUGUCGGAUUAGCUAGUUGGCGGGGUAAAGGCCCACCAAGGCGACGAUCCGUAGCUGGUCUGAGAGGAGGAUCAGCCACACUGGAACUGGGACACGGGCCAGACUCCUACGGGAGGCAGCAGUGGGGAAUAUUGGACAAUGGGCGCAAGCUGAUUCAGCCAUACCGCGUGGGGGAAGAAGGCCUUCGGGUUGUAAAGCCCUUUUGUUGGGAAAGAAAUCCAGCUGGCUAAUACCCGGUUGGGAUGACGGUACCCAAAGAAUAAGCACCGGCUAACUUCGUGCCAGCCGCCGCCGUAA
This 505-nucleotide ribosomal RNA is filed under the name uncultured bacterium. RNAcentral describes it as "partial 16S ribosomal RNA". It matches the Rfam family "Bacterial small subunit ribosomal RNA", at positions 29 to 523 of the family's 1533-position model. The record is from RNAcentral.